RNAcentral lists this ribosomal RNA (446 nucleotides) under uncultured bacterium. RNAcentral's name for it is "bacterial SSU rRNA". It matches the Rfam family "Bacterial small subunit ribosomal RNA", at positions 29 to 524 of the family's 1533-position model. The record is from RNAcentral.
AACGAACGCUGGCGGCAGGCUUAACACAUGCAAGUCGAGCGCCCCGCAAGGGGAGCGGCAGACGGGUGAGUAACGCGUGGGAAUCUACCCAGUUCUACGGAAUAACACAGGGGAAACUUGUGCUAAUACCGUAUACGCCUACGGGGAAAGAUUAUCGGAAUUGGAUGAGCCCGCGUUGGAUUAGCUAGUUGGUGGGGUAAUGGCCUACCAAGGCGACGAUCCAUAGCUGGUCUGAGAGGAUGAUCAGCCACACUGGGACUGAGACACGGCCCAGACUCCUACGGGAGGCAGCAGUGGGGAAUAUUGGACAAUGGGCGAAAGCCUGAUCCAGCCAUGCCGCGUGAGUGAUGAAGGCCCUAGGGUUGUAAAGCUCUUUCAGUGGGGAAGAUAAUGACGGUACCCACAGAAGAAGCCCCGGCUAACUUCGUGCCAGCAGCCGCGGUAAU